GUACAAAGAGCUGCAAGACCGCGAGGUGGAGCUAAUAUCAUAAAACCGUUCUCAGUUCGGAUUGUAGGCUGCAACGCGCCUACAUGAAGCUGGAAUCUCUAGUAAUCGCGGAUCAGCAUGCCGCGGUGAAUACGUUCCCGGGCCUUGUACACACCGCCCGUCACACCACGAGAGUUUGUAACACCCGAAGUCGGUGGGGUAACCUUUUUGGAGCCAGCCGCCUAAGGUGGGACAGAUGAUUGGGGUGAAGUCGUAACAAGGUAGCCGUAUCGGAAGGUGCGGCUGGAUCACCUCCUUUCUAUGGAGA
RNAcentral lists this ribosomal RNA (307 nucleotides) under Klebsiella pneumoniae. RNAcentral describes it as "partial 16S ribosomal RNA". It matches the Rfam family "Bacterial small subunit ribosomal RNA", at positions 1237 to 1533 of the family's 1533-position model. Lineage: Bacteria; Pseudomonadati; Pseudomonadota; Gammaproteobacteria; Enterobacterales; Enterobacteriaceae. The record is from RNAcentral.